Molecule: RNA transcript, 2682 nt
Organism: Eucalyptus grandis
Lineage: Eukaryota; Viridiplantae; Streptophyta; Magnoliopsida; Myrtales; Myrtaceae
Gene name: transcription termination factor MTERF4, chloroplastic
Exons: 3
Source: RefSeq, a predicted model, not a curated record
UGAUUCUUGUGAGAAUCGCUGUAGCUCUCCCCCUCCUCUCUCUCUCUCUAAAACCCUAAACCCUCUCUCUGCGUCUGCGAUUCGCCAUGGACGCGACCGGGAAGCUCGCCGGACGGUGCUGAUCCGUCCAUGGAUUCCGAAUCGCGGCGUCUAGGGUUCGCAAAUCAGGAGGUUUACGAGUAAGCGAAGGGCGACCAGCCGCAGCUCAUCGCUUGCAGGCUUGCAGCAAACCCAAAAGCAACGAUCUUUUCAUCUUCUUCGCUCCUCGCCGCACCUGUUGAGCUCCGUCACGUGUCCGAAAUCCGCCGAAAUGAGCCCCCUUUCGGCGUCCAGGAGAUCCGUCAAGGCCCUCUCCGGCCUCGCCGUUGCCGUUCCGAAGCUCGCCUCGAUCGGAACCGCCGGAGCCCCGCGCACCCACGAUCCCGCUCUACGGAGAUGCGCGGGGCUUCUGCUUCUGCGCUCCUUUCCUUCGUUUUCGUCGUCGUCGUCGAAGUACCCGGAAUACGAAAUGCCCUCCGUGACUUGGGGCGUCGUCCAGGGCCGCAGAGAGAAGCUCGUCUCGCGCGUGAUAGUGUGCGAUUACUUGAAGGGGAUAGGGAUAAUCCCCGACGAAUUGGAGAAUCUAGAGCUGCCCUCGACCGUCGAGGUCAUGAGGGAGCGCGUCGAGUUCUUGCAGAAGUUGGGCUUGACGGUUGAUGAUAUAAAUGAAUACCCUUUGAUGCUUGGUUGUAGUGUGCGUAAGAAUGUGAUACCGGUGUUGGGCUAUCUCGAAAAGAUUGGGAUUCAGAAGUCGAGGCUUGGAGAAUUCGUGAAGAAUUACCCCCAGGUGUUACAUGCCAGUGUGGUGGUUGAGCUAGCUCCGGUUGUGAAGUUCCUCCGAGGGCUUGAUGUGGAGAAACAAGAUAUUGGUUAUGUUCUGCAGAAAUAUCCGGAGCUAUUGGGGUUUAAGCUAGAGGGAACCAUGAGUACUUCGGUUGCUUAUCUUAUCAGCAUCGGAGUUUGUCCUAGAGAUAUCGGUCCAAUGGUUACCCAGUACCCGUAUUUCUUGGGGAUGAGAGUUGGGACGGUGAUCAAGCCACUGGUUGAUUACCUGGUCUCUUUGGGUUUGCUGAAGAAAAUUGUUGCGAGGAUGCUGGAGAAGCGAGCAUAUAUACUUGGCUAUGAUCUUGAAGAGACUGUUAAACCUAAUAUUGAUUGUUUGAUUAGCUUUGGUGUAAGGAGGGAAUCUCUAGCAUCGGUUAUUGCUCAAUACCCACAAAUUCUUGGGCUUCCUUUAAAAGCUAAAUUGUCUUCGCAGCAAUACUUCUUCACUUUAAAGCUCAAGAUUGACCCAGAGGGAUUCGCUGAAGUAGUAGAGAAGAUGCCACAAAUUGUUAGCCUUAACCAGAAUGUGAUCAUGAAACCUGUAGAGUUCCUUUUAGGCCGAGGAAUACCCUCUGAGGAUAUGGCAAAGAUGAUUGUGAAGUGUCCUCAAUUAGUUGCCUUGCGGGUUGAGCUCAUGAAGAACAGUUAUUAUUUCUUCAAGAGCGAUAUGGGGAGACCUUUGAAAGAGCUCGUAGAGUUUCCUGAAUACUUCACCUAUAGCUUGGAAUCUAGGAUCAAGCCUCGGUAUCAGAGAUUACAAAGCAAGGGAAUCAGAUCUUCGCUGAAUUGGUUUCUCAAUUGCAGUGACCAUAGAUUUGAAGAGCGGAUGCAGGCUCAAUAUAUUGAAAGAGAUUUCGAAGGCCCAUCUUUCCGUAUUGGAGGAAAACUAGAGCUACCAGGGGGUCAGAUAGUCUCAGAUGAGGAAGUUGAGAGUGAUGAUGAAGUACUUUACCGGAGAACGGUUUCUCUUUAAAAUCUUGUCUGUUGUGACUAAAAAGAAAGAAUGUCCCUUCUGAGGUCAACCAGGUUACCAUUUAUGAUGAGGUCUUAUGUAAUUUUUUGGGGUUCCUUGAUGCUUCUGUUUCCAAGAAUGACAAGACAUUCUUCAUGGCCUGGUUGUUCAUGGGAUGAUCACGCCAUGAGUAAUAUUGCUAGAGAUGUCACUGGAAGUACGUGCUGAUUUAUGUCUGCUGGAGGAUUUUUUGCUGGAGAUUGGUCCCAGGUUGACUCCGAUGAGCUUUUUAGUUUGGACGUUAGGCAUAAUACGCAUAGCGUGGUUUGAUCAAAGAUACGGUGGGCAACUGUUUUUUUGAAAGGGGAUGGGUCUGGCGGAUGCAGCCGGAGUUCAUAUGGAGGUGACUUUUGUACCAUCAAUACGAGAAGCAAAGAAUGGGCCAUGCAACUCGGCCCAAGCACAUAAAGGAUGAACUUCUGGAUCUACACUUCUGUUUGAAGACAGCGAGCUGCUUUGGUGUGGAUUCCUUGCUGGAUGGAAGAACUCGGUGGUCAUGAUUUUGGCAGCGGCAUGAGUUCAUCAAGAGCUUGAAGUAAUGAUUGUCUUGUCCAUCUUUAUUGGUGGGGACUGUUAGUAGUACUUAUCUGUCAAUCAUUCCGUGGUGUGCUUAACCUAGAUCUUAAGGACGACGAGGUAAAAUGAAUCACUGUAAGAAAAAGCUCCCCGGAAUCUCAGAAUUUCAUUUCACUUGCUCAUAAUAGAACUCGUGACUUGCUUUAUCUAACGGGGGCAAUGUUCAACGGUGCUUCCAAGUAAUUACGUUGUAUAUGUGAAUUUGAGAGUACAUGCAUCACCUUCAGCAA